This is a long non-coding RNA of Hyposmocoma kahamanoa, 665 nucleotides long. RefSeq lists it as uncharacterized. NCBI's taxonomy places the organism in Eukaryota, Metazoa, Arthropoda, Insecta, Lepidoptera, Cosmopterigidae. The transcript has 3 exons. The record is from RefSeq and is a predicted model, not a curated record.
CCGGAGACAACCAAUAUUGGAGCCUGAUGAUUUGUAAGCAUCACGUGGCCUACGUAUUUUCAAGAUUAAACGAGAUACCCCGCAAGAGAAACAUUCAGGACAUUGUAAGCCGAAUGAAUCAUAAGCAGCGUCGAGGGAAGUCAUAUUUGUACCAGGGACACGAAUGGGCGCCAAUUCCUGAACGCAAUGAGGCCAUCCAUCGUAUGCCUGAACAUCAACAGCUUCAGUAUCAUAUGUACGAUAUUGACCUUUGGGAUGGCUACUAAACUACAAUAUAAUAAUGUGUAAACAAGUUAAACUGAUAUUAAUGCGCAGGCCACACCGCGAACGAAGCUAAGCUGACUUCGCUUAGCUCAUGUAAGCCGGGGCAUCUUUUCAUUCUUCGGUUCACACCGCGAACUAAGCUAACCGAGCUAACUAAACUAACUCAACGAUCCCGCUAAGCUCUGUUUAAUAUGUCGCCCUUCUGCCGCCCAUCAUCCCCACACGUCACUACUUACUACGCAUUUUCUGACAUUCGUUUUGCGUGCAACUACGUAAGCUAAGCUAUCUAGGUUCGUUCGCGGUGUAGAUUUCUCUACGAAAUAGUUAUUUGUUACGUCUAUCAUGUAAUAAAUGGCAUUGAAAUACUCAUAUUUAAGUAUAAUGUAAUUGUAUUAUUUGUC